Acanthopagrus latus (yellowfin seabream) is the source of this 188-nucleotide long non-coding RNA. RefSeq lists it as uncharacterized. The transcript is spliced from 3 exons. Lineage: Eukaryota; Metazoa; Chordata; Actinopteri; Spariformes; Sparidae. The record is from RefSeq and is a predicted model, not a curated record.
CAGAGACAGUUUUUCUGUAGCUGUGUUCAGGGAGGAACCUCCAUCAUGUCAGAGUGAAUUCAACAAAGAUAAAGAACAUCAUCAGGUUGACUCUGGUGGUCUUGAUGCUGAUUCCUCUUCUUCUCCUGAGUCUGUGUACCAGGAAGAAGAAAACUCUGAGCUCCACCACUGAACCACAACAACCUGUC